CAGUCGCCACGGGAAUACAGAGGGUGCGAGCGUUAAUCGGAUUUACUGGGCGUAAAGCGUGCGUAGGCGGCUUCUUAAGUCGGAUGUGAAAUCCCUGAGCUUAACUUAGGAAUUGCAUUCGAUACUGGGAAGCUAGAGUAUGGGAGAGGAUGGUAGAAUUCCAGGUGUAGCGGUGAAAUGCGUAGAGAUCUGGAGGAAUACCGAUGGCGAAGGCAGCCAUCUGGCCUAAUACUGACGCUGAGGUACGAAAGCAUGGGGAGCAAACAGGAUUAGAUACCCCAGUAGUCCCUGUCCUUAUACA
RNAcentral lists this ribosomal RNA (301 nucleotides) under uncultured bacterium. Its description in RNAcentral is "partial 16S ribosomal RNA". It matches the Rfam family "Bacterial small subunit ribosomal RNA", at positions 509 to 809 of the family's 1533-position model. The record is from RNAcentral.